This is a non-coding RNA of Pelodiscus sinensis (Chinese soft-shelled turtle), 593 nucleotides long. The record is from RefSeq and is a predicted model, not a curated record. NCBI's taxonomy places the organism in Eukaryota, Metazoa, Chordata, Testudines, Trionychidae.
CUCGAGAGUGUCUCAGUCCCCAGCUGUCGGGCCACACGCCGCGCUUCCAGCUUGGCCGUGGGGUCUGAAGCAGGGAGGGAGUCGAGGCCAGGACCUGUCCAGCUGGAGCUUUGCUGCUGCUUCUGCAUCAGCCCCAUCACGCAGAGAAGAACUGAGCCUGGCUGAGAGACCAUGGGGCCAGAAGCAGAGGGAGAUGCUGAGAGCAAAGUGCCACUGCAGGAGCAUGGGCAUCGUUGUAACUGCAACAAGCGAACAGUCGCCCCCGGAGUCACCCUUGGAGUUGUGUUCUUAGGUCUCCUUGUCACUGUUAUUGCCCUGGCAGGUGAGUUCUCAGCCUCCCCUCCCCCCACCCCCUCUCUGCACGUCCCUCCCCCUGGGGCUGCCCCAGUCACAGCGUCUCCUCCUGGCCUGUCCGACUCCUGCCCCUGGGACAGAGGCUUCCUGAGGGAUGCUCCUGCCUCCUCCCAAAACCUGCCCAGGGCCAAGCUGGCAGGUGCCCAUCACUGAAAUGAGCCGUAGGGUGCAGCACAGACACCCCCAUUAGCACUGUAUGACACCCACCAGUGAGCAACCAGGGCAGCUGUUCCUGGUGA